This is a long non-coding RNA of Rhinopithecus bieti (black snub-nosed monkey), 4361 nucleotides long. The record is from Ensembl. NCBI's taxonomy places the organism in Eukaryota, Metazoa, Chordata, Mammalia, Primates, Cercopithecidae.
AUGCUAGCGGCCCCUCCCAGCGGUGGUCACUGCCAGUGUCAGUCCCUCCCGCCGCCGUGCAGUGCCGCCCUAUCUUGCUGCAGCCGCCGCACCCGCUCCAGCGCCCCCAAUUUGCGCUCGGGAGCGAGGAGCGGCCAACGGCCCCGCCCCGCUGCCGCCAUCGUCACCGCAGUGCUCUCCGGUCGCCAUUCGUUACCGAAACUUUACAGCACCCGCGACGUUUCCGGGACUCCGCGGCGGCUGCGCGGAGGCGGCCCAGGGGCGGCGCGCGGCUGCUCGGGUGCGCGGGGCUCUUUUCGGCAGCCACACUGCUGGGCCUCGAAAGAUGACCGUCUGAGGGAGAUUCAGAGCACUGCCAGGACUCUGGUGUUACCUCCUGUCAGCCUUUGGUUGAAAGCACUUGGAAACCUGGGUGGCUGAUGUUCUCCAGAGGCAGAAAAAUGUUCCCGGCCAAGGGAGGUCAUCUCCAGCAGAUCCUGAGUGUCAGGAAUUCAGAUUCUCUGCCCCACUCCUGCUGGAUCGGAGGACACUUCCACUAGAACCUGGACCUGGCCUCUUUCCAGUUUUCUGCUGGGAGUCCAGAUUCUGGUGCUUUGCCCUGAAUCUCCCGGCCUGGCUCAUCAUCACAGGUUCUCUGCGCAGUGAGGCAAGACCAUCAUUGUGCUGCUUUCCUGAUGCCUUCCAUUUGCCUUUUCUCCAUUUCAGAAAACAAAAAAUCCUGGUAUGCUACAUCCUGAGAAGUUGUUAAUCUUUCACCGCUGCAUACAUUGAGAAAAAUCAGUUCCAGCCAGGAAGCAGCACUAAAGGCAUAUUGUAAACUUUUUUCGUAAUUGGAAAGGUAAAUUUUUUCCCCCCAUAACUAUUUUUUAGUGUGAAGGAAGUAAUUGAUGUCUUGAGUCGGAGAUGGGACUCAAGUUUUUCCCCUUGGGUCUUGCCUGCUACACUCCUGGCCACCCUUUCUGUGGGACUUGACCAAAGGGAUCACACUGGCCAGCCUGGCAAACCCACCAGAACCAAAAGAAAAGCUAGAUGUGGGAAAGGGCUGAAGAACUCCACAUGUGUCUAAAGGGCGAAGAGAGCCUAGGUUGAUAAAAGGAGGUUCAGAUUUCCAGUGGAGAAAUGCAGCCAUUAUAGAAUGCGCCCCUGCGCUAUCAUCACCAUCAAAUAUUUAUGGAGAAUCCACUGCAUGCCUGAAUGUUGCAGUAGUGAAUUGGAAGCUAUUACAGAUGCAAUUAGAGCAAAACAGAUGGAACUGGAGCAAAUUUAAAGUAAAGAUGGAAGAAAGAGUAUGUUGAAUUUUCACAAGAAGAUGGGUACUGUUUCCUUUUGCCUAGGUCUGUUCUUGGCUGAUGGAAUGAGAGAUUUCGACUUGGGGCAUGCUACACGAUGUGUUCAGAAGAAGGGGAAGACUUAGACAUGGAAGUAGAGGCCGGGUGUGGUGACUUACUCCCAUAAUCUCAGCACUUUGAGAGGCUGAUACGGGCAAAUCACUUGAGGCUAGGAGUUCGAGACCAGACUUACCAACAUGGAGAAGUCGUGUCUCUACUAAAAAUACAAAAAUUAUUGGGUUGUGGUCGCGGACACCUGUAAUCUCAGCUGUUUGGCAGACUGAGACAUGAGAAUUGCUUGAGCCUACUGUGAGGCAGAGGUUGCAGUAAGCCGAGAUCACACCAAUGCACUCCAGCCUGGUGACAGUGAGACCCUGUCUCCAAAAAAAAAAAAAAAAAAAAAAACUACUCUAAUCCCAGCACUUUGGGAGGCUGAGUAGUUGGGUAGAUCAUCUGAAGUCAGAAGUUUGAGACCAGUCUGGCCAACAUGGUGAAAUCCCACCUGUACUAAAAAUACAAAAAUUAGCUGGGCAUGGUGACACAUGCCCGUAAUCCUAGUUACGAGGCUGAGGUAAAAUCAGUCACUUGAACUGGGGUGGCGGAGGUUGCAGUGACCUGAGGUCAUGCCAUUGCACUCCAGCAUGGGCAACGAGAGUGAGAUGCUUUCUCAAAAAUAUAUAAACCAAUGAAUGAAUGAAUGAAUGAGUGAAUUAAUAAAUGGAAGAAGAAAAAAGAAAUGAAGGUAGACAACUUGCUUGCUUAUUGGAGGCAGCCAACCAGUGGCUCUUAUUUGGCAUGCUUUUGUCCUUUACUUUUGAAGGGGGCAUUUGCUAAAGUCUGGAGACAUUUUUGGGCUCCCACAGCUGGAAAAGGUAGGGGGAGCUUCUGGUGUCUGGUGGGUGCAGCCCUGGGAUGCUGUGCCAGUACCCUGUGUGCACAGAACAGCUCCACUGCAGAGAAUGGUCUGACCCCGAGUGUCAACAGUGCCAAGGAGAAACCCUGAAUUAUAUAGUCAACUUUAGCAACAGUCCCUAGCCUUGGGCCUCAGACCAGCACAGGUGUGUGUCCUUUUAGGAACCUGCAGGAGGUGAGUGGCAGGCGAGUGAGCAUUGCCAUUUGAGAUCUACUUCCUGUCAGAUCAACAGUGGCAUUGGAUUCUGAUACGAGUGAGAACUAUGUUGUGAACUGCACAUGCAGGGGAUUUAGGUGUUGUGCUCCUUAUGAAAACCUAAUUCCUGAUGAUCUGAGGUGGAACAGUUUCAUCCUGAAACCAUCCUCCAUCCCCACCCCGUGGAAAAGUGUCUUUCAUGAAAGUGGUCCUUUGUGCUAAAAAGGUUGGGGACCACUGAACUGUUUAAUCCUGUUUUGGUCAAGGCCUGUUGGGGAGAUGGGGAGGUGGAUGCCAAGAAAAAAUUAACUUCAACUUCUGUAGUUGUCAAGACACACAAGUUUUAGGGUGAUAUAUUAGGAAAUAAAUCAUAGCUGCUGAUCAGUACAGUAAGAGUAUCAGAUGCUUACAGGAGAAAGGGAAGGAGGAGGUAGGAAGUGGAUUUUGCAGAAUGAUCACAAAUGAGGUCAGAGGGUAUUGCAGUGGGCGGUGGAGCAGGAGUGGGGGUUGUUGCUAGCUGUCCAAGCUUUGUUUCAGCACAGAUAUCCUGGAGCCCUACAUUCAAGUACUCCCUUAGUACAUGUUUCUCAGACCCUUCCUUUUGACUUUAUUGAUGUCAUCACAGAUGUACUAGGUCUUACUUACAAGGAGGGUGAACUCCUUGGUACUCUGGAGUUGGUUAGGAACAAGUGGCACAAGGUUUCUCUGUGCUCAGUGAAUUGUGAGUGGUGUAGGGUCACUAAGAAAUCUCAGAAGGGACUUAGUGUGCUACCUUCAUCUCAUUCUCUUCCUACAGAUGUUGAAAUGAGAGACAUGGUGGGGCAGCCGGGUACGGACCUGUAUUAUACUUCAUGGAGGCCCUCUUCCAAGUAUCUAUAGGAAAAAGGCAUCUAAAGUUAGGUCCUGCUGUGGCAUGUUUCAUCCUGAACCAGCCUCUGGUCGCCAUGUCCAGGUGAGCUCCAGAGCUGCCCUGAGUCAUGCCUGUUUUCAGGAAUUCUGUGUUGUGGCUGGACCUGGGGGCUGGGGACAGCUAUGAGGGAAAUCUCGUUUGCAGCCAGUGCCAUGCACUGUGUGUAUCUUUGAGCACAUUAGUGAGCUUCUGUAGCAUUAGUAUUCUCAUUGAGACAGAAGGUGUGUGGAGUGGGGGAUGUGGGGAGAAAGAUUUCCCAGGCUUCUUGUAUUAAAUGAGCUAGAAUUAUAUUUUCAUGUAUUUUGAAUUUUACUUAUCCUUUCUUGAGAUGGUCUCACUCUAUUGCACAGGCUGAAGUGCCGUGGUGCGAUCUCAGCUCAAUGCAGCCUUGGCCUCCUGGGCUCAAACAGAUUCCCCACCUCAGCCUCCGGAGCAGCUGGUACUACAGGUCUGUACCUCCAUACUUGCGUUUUUUUAUUUUGUUUUUUUGAUUUUAGUGGAGAAGGAGUCAUCUACAUUGCCAGGGUGAUCUCAGAAUCCUGGGCUCAAGUGAUCCAUCCUCUUUGCUUGACCACCCAAAGUGCUAAGACUGCAGGUGUGAGGAACGAUACUCCGCUGAAGCAGAUAGAAUUAUAAUGCUUGGAACCCAAUAUGCUUAUAUUUUCUUGUUUUCUGAAGUUUUGAAUUGGGUCUGGAAAGGUAUCUUUAUCAGUUAGGAAGUCUAGUAACUUGCUUGCUUUUUUUUUUUCCCAUUACAUUAUCUCAUUAUCUUUUCCCUCUUUUUUUUUUUUUUUUUUGAGACUGGAGUCUCGCUCUGUUGCCCAGGCUGGCGUGCAGUGGCCGGAUCUCGGUUCAUUGCAAGCUCCGCCUUCCGGGAGCCAUUCUCCUGGCUCAGCCUCCGGCGUAGCUGGGACUACAGGUGCCGGCCACCACACCCGGGUAGAUUUUUGUAUUUUUUAGUAGAGACGGGGUUUCACCGUGUUAGCCAGGAUUUUUUUUUUUUUUUUUUUUUUUU